GAUGAAGAACGCAGCGAAAUGCGAUAAGUAGUGUGAAUUGCAGAAUUCAGUGAAUCAUCGAAUCUUUGAACGCACAUUGCGCCCCUUGGUAUUCCAUGGGGCAUGCCUGUUCGAGCUUCAUUUGUACCUUCAAGCUCUGCUUGGUGUUGGGUGUUUGUCUCGCCUCUGCGUGUAGACUCGCCUCAAAACAAUUGGCAGCCGGCGUAUUGAUUUCGGAGCGCAGUACAUCUCGCGCUUUGCACUCAUAACGACGACGUCCAAAAGUACAUUUUUACACUCUUGACCUCGGAUCAGGUAGGGAUACCCGCUGAACUUAAGCAUAUCAAUAAGCGGAGGA
Molecule: unclassified non-coding RNA, 337 nt
Filed under: soil metagenome
Description: partial contains 5.8S ribosomal RNA, internal transcribed spacer 2, and large subunit ribosomal RNA
Rfam family: 5.8S ribosomal RNA (bases 1-120)
Source: RNAcentral